UCCUGGUUAGCUCAAUUGGUAGAGCGACCUCCUCGGAAAGGUGUUGGUCCCGGGUUCGAUCCCUGGACCAGGAU
RNAcentral lists this transfer RNA (74 nucleotides) under Rhipicephalus sanguineus (brown dog tick). RNAcentral describes it as "transfer RNA proline (anticodon CGG)". It matches the Rfam family "tRNA". From Rfam's summary of the family: Transfer RNA (tRNA) molecules are approximately 80 nucleotides in length. Their secondary structure includes four short double-helical elements and three loops (D, anti-codon, and T loops). Lineage: Eukaryota; Metazoa; Arthropoda; Arachnida; Ixodida; Ixodidae. The record is from RNAcentral.